UACGUAGGCAGCAAGCGUUGUUCGGAGUUACUGGGCGUAAAGGGUGCGUAGGCGGCUGUGCAAGUCUGGCGUGAAAGCCCCGGGCUCAGCCCGGGAAGUGCGCUCGAAACUGCACGGCUCGAGUGCCGGAGGGGAGAGUGGAAUUCCUGGUGUAGCGGUGAAAUGCGUAGAUAUCAGGAGGAAUACCGGUGGCGAAAGCGACUCUCUGGACGGCAACUGACGCUGAGGCACGAAAGCGUGGGGAGCAAACAGG
RNAcentral lists this ribosomal RNA (253 nucleotides) under uncultured bacterium. RNAcentral's name for it is "partial 16S ribosomal RNA". It matches the Rfam family "Bacterial small subunit ribosomal RNA", at positions 524 to 776 of the family's 1533-position model. The record is from RNAcentral.